This is a long non-coding RNA of Python bivittatus (Burmese python), 796 nucleotides long. RefSeq lists it as uncharacterized. The record is from RefSeq and is a predicted model, not a curated record. NCBI's taxonomy places the organism in Eukaryota, Metazoa, Chordata, Lepidosauria, Squamata, Pythonidae.
GCCUGCCAGCAUGCAAACAGGAACCCCAAGAAAAGCCACAAUUGUCAGAGCUGCCUUCAAGCUUUUCACUUGUCAGGAAGCAACAAGAUGCCUGCAAGCCACCUGCUUUAUUUACCAGGUUGGCAUUGCGAUCUGAGCAAGCGCUCAUUUGAAGACUGAGCAAAUGUAAAUCCAUCCUUUUUAUGGGACUUGCAUUCAGAGAUUCCUUCAGGUAAAGUUGUGACUCUUCUUCACAUCAUCAAGCUCAACCAAGCAGAUGCAUCACACAUGUACCCAAAACACACAUGACGGCUAUAUUAUAAAUGUACCAGAAGAAUGAAUUUUACCUGUGAUAAUGUGAGGAAGACUACAACAAAGAAAAAGAAGUUGCAGUUGCCCCAUGCAAAACAUCAAAAGGACAAAUUUAUCUAGAAAAGGCAGGACUGAAAAGAAAAACGUGGCCAGAUACUUUUUGUUCUGAUACUCCACUUGAAAAGAAUCUAUGAAAAGAAGCAAGACCCUGGGAAAUGGUCCUAGGAAAUGCGACUGUUUAGGACCAAGCUCUUUCCUGACCAUCAGAACUAGCCCAUCUUCAUUAGCCAUAAGCCAGUUUGGGGGAAGAAAUGCCUGACAUUUCUUUGUGGACUGCUUCAGUCAAUGUGCUGUUCCGACUCCAGACAGUCGUGUGACUGCCAACGCAUUUGCUAAACUGAACAGGGCUCAACGCCCACACAACUGACUUUUCCAAACAGAUCGAAGGAAACACAGAUGGAAAGACUGUAUAUUCACUGAAUUGUACUUUACUGAUGUUAUUAAA